Molecule: ribosomal RNA, 685 nt
Filed under: uncultured Lachnospiraceae bacterium
Lineage: Bacteria; Bacillati; Bacillota; Clostridia; Lachnospirales; Lachnospiraceae
Description: bacterial SSU rRNA
Rfam family: Bacterial small subunit ribosomal RNA
Source: RNAcentral
CUAACACAUGCAAGUCGAACGAGAGAGAAGGAGCUUGCUUCUUCGAUCGAGUGGCGAACGGGUGAGUAACGCGUGAGGAACCUGCCUCAAAGAGGGGGACAACAGUUGGAAACGACUGCUAAUACCGCAUAAGCCCACGGGUCGGCAUCGACCUGAGGGAAAAGGAGUGAUCCGCUUUGAGAUGGCCUCGCGUCCGAUUAGCUAGUUGGUGAGGUAACGGCCCACCAAGGCGACGAUCGGUAGCCGGACUGAGAGGUUGAACGGCCACAUUGGGACUGAGACACGGCCCAGACUCCUACGGGAGGCAGCAGUGGGGAAUAUUGCACAAUGGGGGGAACCCUGAUGCAGCGACGCCGCGUGGAGGAAGAAGGUCUUCGGAUUGUAAACUCCUGUUGUUGAGGAAGAUAAUGACGGUACUCAACAAGGAAGUGACGGCUAACUACGUGCCAGCAGCCGCGGUAAAACGUAGGUCACAAGCGUUGUCCGGAAUUACUGGGUGUAAAGGGAGCGCAGGCGGGAAGAUAAGUUGGAAGUGAAAUCUAUGGGCUCAACCCAUAAACUGCUUUCAAAACUGUUUUUCUUGAGUAGUGCAGAGGUAGGCGGAAUUCCCGGUGUAGCGGUGGAAUGCGUAGAUAUCGGGAGGAACACCAGUGGCGAAGGCGGCCUACUGGGCACCAACUGACGC